Molecule: transfer RNA, 86 nt
Filed under: Candidatus Moraniibacteriota bacterium
Lineage: Bacteria; Candidatus Moraniibacteriota
Description: tRNA-Leu
Rfam family: tRNA
About the family: Transfer RNA (tRNA) molecules are approximately 80 nucleotides in length. Their secondary structure includes four short double-helical elements and three loops (D, anti-codon, and T loops). Further hydrogen bonds mediate the characteristic L-shaped molecular structure. tRNAs have two regions of fundamental functional importance: the anti-codon, which is responsible for specific mRNA codon recognition, and the 3' end, to which the tRNAs corresponding amino acid is attached (by aminoacyl-tRNA synthetases). tRNAs cope with the degeneracy of the genetic code in two manners: having more than one tRNA (with a specific anti-codon) for a particular amino acid; and 'wobble' base-pairing, i.e. permitting non-standard base-pairing at the 3rd anti-codon position.
Source: RNAcentral
GCCGCGGUGGUGGAACUGGCAGACACGCCAGCCUUAGGAGCUGGUGGGAUUUUCCCGUGUGGGUUCGACUCCCACCCGCGGCACCA